ACCAGUUAACAUGCAAAACCCCGAUGUCAGCUGCAGCGUGGGGAAACAAGGCGCGCACCCCGGUGGGGCACCACGUGCCGGCUAAUCAAGAGAAGCCCUAUGUACCUCUAUCAAGCUACAUGGGGAGAGGUGAUGGUUACGUUACGUGUACGUAGAUGGCUACUCCUCCACACAUGUCACUUCCAUUCGAAUCAAAUGCUGCGCCGUUGUCGCCGUCCAGGGAGGGUGGGGAUGGAUCCAAUUCAACCACUAGACGCAUGUGGUGGUUUCUUGUAUGUGAAUGCGAACAAUGCGAAAAACGUGGCAUCCAACACGGUCGGCCGGCGGUGGCUUUAAAUGGAAAUGAAGGGGAGAUGGGACGGUUGAUGUUACUGGUUUUGCCUGCAUAUAAUCUGAACAACAAUCCUAACGAUAAUGUCAAACAAGUUGAUGAUGAUGAUGAUGAUGAUGAUGAUGAUGAUGAUGAUGAUGAUGAUGAUGAUGAUGAUGACGAUAAUAUGGUAACUAAGUACACAGCGAGACGUGCGGUUGACCGGUUACGGAACAAUAACGGCGGUCGCAGGGCGCAGCUUCUCUGCUGGAGCUUGAAAUGAUUGCGGUUUUGUGGGAGAUCUUGGCGUUGCGUUGUCGCGACAUGUCGGGGCAAGACCUGCAGUCACCGGUGACGAGACAGACUAAUUUGUGAUUUGAAUAAUCCUAAAUUAGACCAUGUUUGGUAAACAGAUUAAUUUAUUAUAUUUCUUCUCCAAUUUCUUUUCAGGUAUGUCAUUUUUGGAUUUUUAUUAAGGUAAUUAUUAGCAUAGGCUCCAUAGACAAAGUGUUCAUGUGGAUAUGGAACACUAAAGUGUAGAGCAGGCUUUAACCCAGUUGGGACGUAACGCUUAGAAGAAUAAGCUGUAUGCUUUGGUAAUUUUUCAAGCUCACCCAGCUUCAAGCUUAGCUCACUUGGUAAGAAACCCUCAUCUAACUCAACCAAACCACGGGGUUUACGGAAUUCGAGCAAGGUAUAGUUAAAAUUCUCAUAAGGAAUAACAAGGAUUGCAACACAUUUUUAGAAUAGACCCUAAUCCGCAAGUCUCCAGGAAAAGGCUAUACGCAUCCCAUCGGUUCGCGAUUUUCCUCUAGAAAAGUGUGAAAAAGCUUUACUCCCCGCACAUUCUCCUGAUUCAUGCACCCUUGAAUGCACCUUUCAGCAAUAAUCAUCUAGCUCCAACCCCACCAUUAUCCGGAUGAGCUUGCAAAUGACGCGUGCACUCCAACUGCAACAUUGCAUAAUAUCAUCAACCACCCUAUCGAACGCGAACUGCCGCCCUGCUGCCAUAACAGCCAGCACACACUUCAUAUUCCUGUGGGAUUGCCAUUCCCGGUCCCAUGGCGACGAGGGAGACGAUCGUCCAAGACCGUACGGCGCAAAUCAAAUGCGCGAUUAUAUUUACCCCCGCAGGCUGGGCGGCAUCGGUCUCCAUUUCCCUAGCCCUAUCCCCCGGAUCGGGGAUGCACUUGACAAUUUGCUCCAUUAGCCCCUGUGGGAUUGUUGACUGUGCGCGGGUAUGCAUUAUUGUUGUACAUAUCUACAGUGAACCGGUACAAGUGGGGGCGGGGAUGCGGAGGACCAAUGGCAAAAGGGGACGGGAAAACUGUAGAAUGCGCUCUACACGACGACGGCUUUUCGCGAUGCACGUGGCAGUCGGCCCGCCAACUGACGGCGGCGUCCGUGAAGCCGGGCGGCAAUUGUGUGGGGUUAGUUCAUGUACUAGAUAGACUAGGUACAUAACUGCACCACAUUGGGGCAGGGGAGAGCUCUCUCGCUCACCGCAAAACAAGUUGCAGUGCAGAGGGUUGCUGUAAUGGCGGGCGGGAGGAGACGAGUGAAGUGAUGAUGUUUAUUUACUUCACACCGCGUGGCUGUUGAAAGGGAAGGAAGUGCCAUUCGAGCAGUGGCUCCCAAACGGUAAACUAACGGACUUCUAUUUAAGUACAAGGUGUGUUAUUGAUUUGUGAAUUUAAGGUCAUGAUGUGAACAUACAUGACUUGAUUCAACCUCAUUACUCCAAACGCUAAUACAUACCUUGAAUGCCCUUACUCUGAAUUCUAUUAGCCCGAAUAGGUCACUACCCCGAACGAAAUCCAUUACCCUGAAUAGGUCAUCGCCCUGAAUCGAUCAGAGAUGGUGUGGAAAAGUGUUUGUCAUGGCGAAAUUAUCAGACUUCGACUUUGAAGUCUGGCAAUUUGGCCAAACUGUGCUUAGCUUCAAUUUACUUCUGGAUACGUCUGGAUAAGGCUUAGGAUCGCCAAUCCGGAGACGGCGGGUUCGAUUCCCGUUCCGGUCGGAACUUUAUCGACUUCCCUGGGCAUAAGCCUUACAAUACACAAAUUCAUGGCAGGCAAAGAACGCUGUGGAAGUGCCCAAAAAACAUUAAAUUGCAGUGAGGCAGGCCAAAUCCCGGUGACCUUUUGAUCGAAUGACAUUUGGUCGAAUGCCGUUUGGCCGAAUUAUUAUCAAAAAAAUUAGAGAAACUUUUUGACAUUCUAGCUGCCAAUAUGACCAUCAGAAUUUUUUUGUCACAGGCUAUUCUUUAUAGUUUUACCAUUCAGAGACAAGUUGGCGCUGUAACUGCCAAUGUUUACUCUUUCAAUAAUAAGCUGUACACUGCAGUGUUGAGUGAUGUGUAGCUAAAGAAGAUUUCCCUAAAUUGUUAAUCUAGCAAACAGCAGGCGUGAAAACUCCAUCUCUCCUCUUAUGGCCAUCAUCAGGAGAACUUAUUCAUGAUGAUAGACAGUAGACAAUACAAUCUUAUUCAGGGGCCACAAAAAAAAGGCCGAAACGUCGGAACAGUAUAAAAUACACGAUUCUUCCUGAGAACCCUAAGUCUUCUGGGUUUCCAUUAAGGAUUUCUACAAUGAUUUCUCGCAGGAUUUAUUAAGAGCUUUAUCUCGGGAUUUAUUCUUCGAUUUAGCUUAGACUUCUUUCAUGAUUUUUUUCGGCAUUUUUCCCGAUUCCUCCAAUGAUCCGUCCUGGGUUUCCUUUAGGAAUUUCUCCUGGAAUUGCUUCAGGUAUUCUGAGAAGGAUUCCUGCAGGAUUUUUUUCUGGAAAUCUGUUAGGAAUUCCUACUGAGUUUAUUUCAUUGAUUGCUUCCGAGAUUCCUUUACGAAAGAUCCUCCCAGGAUUCAGUCUUUUCCGGCAUUCCAUCAGGAAUUUCUCCCAGGAUUUCUUGAACGAUUUCUCCUGUGAUUCCUUGUGGGUUUUGGGUGUGGGAUUCAAAGAUUUCUUUCGGGGAUUCCUUUACGAAUUACUACUGGGAUUAAUUCCUUCAGAUAGUCAAUAAAUGAUACUUUUGGGGAUUUCUCACGGGAUUUUUUUAAUGUCUCAUGGGGUUCUCUCAGGGAUUCCUUCUGGGAUUGCUUCAGAGUUUCCAACAGGGAAUCUUCCCUAGAUUCCUUCAGAGAUUUCAAGACUUCCCCCUCUUCGGGAUUUAUUUAUUGAUUUUUCAUCAUAUUAUUCCAUAUAUGUCUUCCGGCAUUUUUUCCGCGAUUCUUUCAGCGAAUUCCCAAAUGCAACACGGAUUCUUUUCCGGGGUUUCUGUAGGGAUUUCUCCUAAGAUUCCUUCAAGAAUAACUCAUGGAUUCUGUCAAAGACUCCUUCAGAAAGUAUUUCUACAAUUCCGGCCAAACGGCGGCGAAGUCACAAACAAUCCACACUUCCAUUCUUCGAAAUGUGUCACAUUGCUAAUACAGUACAUACACAGGCAAUAAAAGAACAAACAUAGACAGGUUAAGUACGACAUACGCAGGGAUUCUACACAGUAGAAGGAACAUUGACAAACACAAUAAAUCUAGAAACUAAGAUAGUUUACACAAAAAUUAGAUUAUUCCGAUAGGGCAUCACAGCUUCCAAAAAGAAUGGUCCGAAUAAGGGGGUAUGCUAAAGAGGGAAAAUUUUCAGUUGAACUAAAAGGGAUUCCGAAAUGUAAGAUACUUUAAUGUUAUAAUUUUAAAAGACAUAAUUAAUUGAUAAACCACACACCCACUUUACAGCAUGUAGCAAAAACGACACAAAAAGGGACAGUUACAGUUAGACAAAACCAUUGACAAAAAACGAUAGUAUUAAUUAUGUUAGUAACAAAGCAAAUUUAUGUUAAGACAAAAUUGUUAAAAAAAAACAACUUCCAAUUACAGUUUCCCCCUGAGGAAAACACUAUCCCCGUGUCGAAACGUCAGGUAAACAAAACAACUCGUGUUUUGAAUCUCAAGACUGCGUAGCCGUUAACCAAAAGAGUCAACCAUACAGUCGUGUUUCAAUAGCAGUUAGGAAUUUCUCCCAAAAUCCCUGCUGGGAUUCCGUUAAAGAAUCCUGCAGGAAAUUCUUGCGGAUUAGUUCACGGAUAUUUUCCGGAUUCCAUCAAGGAUUGCUUCGAGGAUCCUUCAACGAUUCCUCUAGGGUUUAAUUCCGAGAUUCUUUAAUAGAUUAUUUCCGAGAUUGUAUCAAGAAUUGUUUCUGGGUUCCCAGGAUUCCUUUAGAUGUUUCUCCUUGGCAGACUUUAGAAAUUCCUUCCGGAAUUCUUCCUUGAUUUUGCUGAGGUCUCCUUUAGCGAUUACUCCUGAGAUUCAGUCAGAGACUGUUUCAUGGAUUCUUUCCGGCCCUUGCAAGAUUUCCCCCGGGAUUGCUGCUGAGAUUCCUUCACUGAUUUCUAUCGAGAUUCCUUUUAGGGCUUUCAUUGGAGAUUCCUCAUAAAUCCUUCCAGGGAUUCUUUCGGAAAUAUCUUCGGUGAUUCCUUCAUUGAUUCUUCCCGGAUUUUCUUAAGGAAUUUAUCCCGGUAUUUCUUCGGGAGUCCUCCCAAGAUUAAAUUAAAUAAUUAUUUCAAAGGAUUCCAUUGAGGAUUUCUUCAGGCAUUUCUUCAGAGACUCCUUCUGCAUUUUUUUCAGGGCCUUCGGGGAUUCUUCCUGAGAUUUUUUCAGGAAUUACUCCUGGGGUUCCUUCAGGGAUUCAUCAAGGGAAUCCUUCAGAAAAUUCAAAGAGAAUACUUCUGAGAUUCAUUCAGAGAUAAUUUCAAUAUUUUCUUAAGAUUUCUGGCGCAAUUGCUUCAGAGAUUUCUUUCGGGCUUUUUUCCGGAAUUCCUUCAAAAAUUCCUCCCAGAAUUCCUUCAUUGAUUUUGCUCAGGUUUCUUUUAGGAUUCUCUCAGAUAUAUUUCAAAGGACUCCCUCCGGAAUUGAUUUUGGAUUUUUCCGGGAUUCCAUCAUUGAUUGCUCCCUAGAUUACUACGGAUUUUUUUUUUCAGGAAAUUUAUUUGGGGACUCAUCGAAGAAUCUGGAUUCCUUCAGUAAUUGUUCCAGUGAAUCCUCUUUCGCCAUUGAGCAUUUCUUCCACGAUUUAUUCAGGGUUUUCUCUCGAGAGAAUCUUUCCGGGAUAAUUUCUUUAGGAUUCCUGUCGGGAUUUCUUCCUAAAUUUCAGGGGUUGCCUGUUCAAGAAAGUGGCAUUGGAAGAAUUUACAUAGGGUUGACAUUGCUUCCUAAAUAGAUGAAAUUCCGACAGAAUGUAAUGACAAAAUUUCAUAAGAAUAUCAUGUGGGCAUUCACAAGAGAAACUGUGAAAAAAGGGACAAAUUCAACAGCUCUUCUCAAAGUAUUCCUCAAAAAUGUCUUUGGAAGGCUAAAUACAAUAUAAGGUCGUUUUGUUAGUAUUUUAUGUUAGAGUUUCUCUAUAAAUAUCAUCAAAAAUUUCUCUAUGGGACCCCUAGGUAUUUUAGGAAGCCAUAUGCACGAAAUUCAUUAGCAACUCUAACGUUCUUAAAAAUCUGCCUCCAUUAGAAAUCUACCAGAAAUUAUUAUUUUUGGAUAAUCCAAAGAUACUUGCUGUAUUCUUGAAUGAAUGACUAUACAAAGCCCUUCUUGCAUUUCUGCAAGAACGAAUUCCUAAAAGGUGCUCAAAUUAUACCAAGAGAUAUCAAAAUGAAUUAUAGCAUAGCUUCUCUUCUAAGAAACAAUGAAGCUCAAAUUUUGAAUAUCUCAAUUUGGUCGAAACGAAAGGCAUUCUUUUGUUUAAAGGUCUAUAAACAUGCACUUGUUUAGGCCCUUUAACAAUAAUUUUCUGUUGUCGGCAAUGUUUAUCAUUAUUAUUAAUAACAAUCAUUCUAAUUCUUGAAUUACAUCUUUCUUUUCUGCUAGCAUUAUGUCAUUUCAUUAGUGUCUCCGCUGUUUUAACAAAGAGCAUUCUUUGUCAAUUGACCAUUCAUGCAUUCGGCACCGAUUCAUCAAAUUCUUUCAAAAAUACACAAAUAAGAAACAAUACAAGCAGCGUCUCAGUUCUUCUGUUUUGCAUAGGAUGAGAAUCGAAGCACCUUGCUGACUAGUAGGAACAGUCUCUCAAUUUCUUCACUGUGAAUUAUCAAAAGUGACCUAGAGUCCAGAUAAUAAAUCUGUAAAAUUUUCAUUUUGGAUUCCUCUGAUAUUUUUACACGGAAUCAGUUUUUAAUGUUGUCAACUUUCAACAAAUUCUACUAACACUCUAGACAUUACACCAUAAGUAUCGCUAAGGUUUUUUUUUCGAGAAGUUGCUUUUUCUGAAACUUCAUCCGAACUUCUACUGGUGGUUCCCAUUGAAGUUUACUGAAAUUUUUAGUAAAACAAUAUAUUUUCACACGUAAAUACGUGCAAGGGUUGCGUCUUGCGUCUGAAAUUCUGCUCGGGGUUUCGCUCAAAAUCAUCUCCGGAUAAAUUUCCGACUGACUGUUGCGAAUGACAAAUGGCCGGAAGAACAAGUUAAUGUAUUUUUAGGUAAUUCUUUCCACUUUUUGAACAUAAGGUCAUUCUAUAAAUUCGGUCAAAUGUCUUGCGACCAUUUGUCAGUCGAAGCCUUCCGUUAUAACAUUGCUAGUAAUUUUAGAAAUUCUAAAGAUCCUCGAAGAAAUUUUCAGAAAUCCAUAUGAAGUUUACAUAUUAGAAACAGCGAUAUUUGUUCCAAACAAUUUGCCUGCGUUUUCUACAGAAUUCCAUCAGAGCAUUCUUUAGAAAGUUUUAUGGUAGAAAAUAGUUGUUGUCACGAAGCAGAACUUGAAUAUUUGUUUAAGGAGUACGACGUAAAGUUAUAAAUGAUUUUGAAUUCUUACUGUAGUUUCCGGUAAUCCCUUAGUUCUUGAAGUUUUGGAAAUGUUCUCGAAAUCUAUCAUGUUAAUCGGGGAAAAUUGUAGAAAUUUUCAAAGGAACGCUAAAACUGUUUGGGAACCACUGCUUCAGCGACAACAAAUUCUGAUUUUAUUUAUUUUUCAAACGGCGAGCGCCACGCCAGGCAGCGUGCGAGGGGUAUAGUGAAGGAAAGAUGUUUAGAUUCCGAUUAAAUGCAGCACUUGCACUAGAAAUAGUGCAACUCGAGAUGGUUCGUCUUGAUUGUGGACCGACACCGGGAGCUGAUCGGAAUCUUAUCGGCCCUGCCACUGACACUGCACUGGUAUGACGUCAAUCGACUCGGGUGAAUGCAUUUCUGUCACUCCAGCUUGAGCCACAAAGUACUCUAGUUUUGCCACCGAAGGCAAAGUGGCCAGAGUGCGGUACAAAAAUAGCAAUGCGGCGGUGGUGAACAUCAAAUGUCCGCUGCACUGUCGGCAGCAAUAGUGUGGAAGAUAAACAGACCACAGAUAUCGGUGGUGGAAGCGGUCAUCGCGUGGCACCAACACCACGUUGAAUCGGUGCACUUGAAAUUGCAAAUAUUAUCCAAAUGCAAUUACUCAUUUCUCACCGGGCCGCGGUGUUUACAGCCUAUUCAUACAGAGUUGGUCACAUUAUUCGAAACUUAUUGAUGUUUCGAACAAAAUGCUCAAUCAUUAGAUGUGCUUGGUAGUAUAAUUGCUAUCGCUUCUGAUUUGUAGGUAGAAGGUUCUGGGAUCGAUCCCCAGCCCAUUCAUUUUAUACAACUUCGAGGUCUAAUUUUUAAAACUACACUGACACUUAAUGAAUUGUUUUAAAGAAAUAGACCUUCGACAAUUUCAUUUAUCAUCUGAUGGCCGUUAUUUCCCUCAAAUCAGAAUUCAUAUAACUUGAUCUUUUCCGAAAUGUCAGGCAAAUCGAUCCCAAAUUCCCAAAUUUUCAAUAUAAGAGUUUCAGAUGUAUCGAUCUAUACUGUUCCUUCCAUUGCAUUCUUUGUUUGUGUAACACGAUGCACCUCAUUGUUGCCGUUUUUGUUUGUUGAUUCAACAAGUUACGCUAUGUAUCAACUCGUAACUGUCUCUUAUUUAUACGCAGUUCUUUACCUACGGUUUAUAUCUACUGAGUAUACACACAGCUAGAUACCGAUACUGUGGUGAGUACGAGAAUGUUUAGAGCGCUCGACGCUGCACGAGCCAGCCCGACUCAUGCCGGGGCUGUAGGCGCUCACUGUACCUAUGGAUUUCCGAAGAUGCAACACACUUUUCUCACACCACCUCCCAAAUGGUGCAGUGUUUGCACAGGGCCUUGUGGACGGUUGGUCACGCGCUUCCCGGGACCCAGAGAGCUGGCUACGGUUGAUGGCUAAUGACUAUCCGUGCAAAUAGGGUAAGAGCUGGAUGUGGCUGCAACGAUGCAAUGUAAUGGGUUUACAGUUUUGUACAAAUAAAAAUGUACUUAUUAAGGAAGUUCCCCUUUUUUUUUUUUUUGCAAAACAGUGGAAGUCUUGGCAAAAUCUUACAAUUAGAAUUUCAGAAACUUUUGUGAUUUUUUCAGGCUAGUUUUAUUUCUAUAGAAUCACUAAAAUGUCGUUCAAAAUUACAAAAUAACAGGCUUUUACAGAAAGACAUAAGUUUCAAGCAUUUCUGGCAUUGGAAAACAGUUCGAAUUCCGUCAAACAGAUAAUGCGGGAUUUAUUUAGGCACUAAGAAAAUAUCUGAAAACUAUAUAAGCUUCUCGAAAUUUCAGGAUUUUUUUCUGGAGAUUUCUAAAGAAUGUUCAGUGUUCUGACCAUUUUGCCUUUCUCGUACACCAAAGUGUACUGAAAGACUGUAUGAUCACUCACAAAACGAAUUUUCGAUAGAAGACCAAUCAACUCAGUUCGUCGAAUUAAGAUGAUGUCUGUAUGUGUGUAUGUAUGUAUGUCUGUGCGCAAAAAAGUUCACUCACUUUUAGGGCACUUCCCAUUGACCGAUUUUUCGGAUUAUAGCUCAAAUCGAACCGGAAUUUUACCGCAUUGUUUGCUAUUAAAAAUGGUCCAGAUCGACCAAGGCGUUCCAGAGUUAUGGCCAUUUCAGUGAUCCAGACCACAAGCAACCGGUAGAACUGGCCGUAUAUAAAACUGAACGAAGCCCCAUCAUGCGGACACAUCAAACUGCGGCGAUUUUUGUAACCUUUAGCAUGGUUGACGAGUUUUGUGCGGAAAUCAAUACUGAGACCAUAAAUUUUACAAUGUUGGUCCAACGUUCAAGAUGGCAACCUGAUAUUCAAGAUAACGGCUGAUUAAUAGUUUUAGGCUCUUAAACAAAGCAAUACAGUCAUGACCCGCUGGUUGGGGGUUUAAUAGUUGGGUGGCUUUUUAGUUGGGGCUCCGUUAGUUGAGCUGUCAGCCAACUAAAAAGUACCUGGAUGUCAUAAUUCAAUGUCAAACUGAAAAUGACAACCAAUCUGCAACUCGGAGGAGCGAGCUAAUGAGUUUUUGGUUUCUUAAAUUUUACUGAUAAUCGAAAAGAAUUUCUAUUUCAUAUUUCUUAAAAAAAACAAUAUGUACAAUUACUUCGAAACAAAUGUAAAACAUCGACAAUCUUUAUUUUGUCGAUCAUUGAAAGCGUUUUGUGCUUGCAUUUUGCUUCGGGUGGUUUCAUAAACAUCUAUAUUCUCACUUGACCGACUAAAAAUGGGUGAAAAUAAUUAUUUCUCGCAUUGGCCAAAACGUAUCAGUUUUGCUCUAAAUGUAAAAGAAAUAGAAAAAUUUUACUUUUUACUUCCAACCUAAACGAUUAAAAAAAAACAAUGUGCACGCCCCUUGUGCUGCUGUCACUUCACCCAACUAGCGAAUCGAAUUCGUUGGUUGGGUGGAGGUUGUGGCUCAACGAGCGGGUUCCGACUGUUUGGGGUAUAUUUUGAAUGGGGAAGAUCUCCGACUUCCAAAAAUCGCGACCAGAUCAUCCAAGUUAGCGGUCUAAAAUUCAAGAUGGCGGCUCCAAAUUAAAAAUGGUGCAUUUUAAUUGGAGGGUUAGGCUAUACAAAAACCUAUAUUAUUGGUAUACUUGGUAUGAAGAAGAUAUCCGGAGUCCCUAAAACCAUGAAAUAUGGGUAUAUUUAGUAUGGGCAAGAUGUCCGAAGUCCAAAAAUUUCGACCAGAAUAUCCAAGAUGGCGGUCUAAAAUCCAAGAUGGCGACUGUUUAAAGGAGUUUUAGGCCCUAAAACCAUAGAUAGUAAGGAAAACAUGUCCGGAGUCCAAAAAUAACGGCCAGAAUAUCCAAGAUUAUGAUGUAAAAUCUAACAUGGCGUCCCAAAAUUCAAGAUAGCGGCCAUUCAAUGCUGUUUUAGGUUAAUAAAUCAUUCAAUAUGUUUAAUGGAGUGUUAGACUCAAAAACCAUUCAAUAUGGGUAUAUUUGGUAUGGAGAAGACGUCCGGAGUCCAAAAAUGGCGACAAAGAUAAACAAGUCGGUGGACUAACAUCAAAGAUGGUGGCUACAAUUUCAAGAUGGCGUCUGUUUAAUAGAGUUUUAGGCCCAAAAACCAUGCAAUAUGGGUAUAUUUAGUAUGGACAAGAUGUCCGAAGUUCAAAAAUAGCGACCAGAAUAUCCAAGAAGGCGGCUCCAAGUUCAAGAUGGUGGCUGUUUAAUGGAGUUUUAGGCUUUAAACCGUUCAAUAUGGGUAUAUAUAGUAUGGGGAAGAUGACCGCAAUUCGAAAUGGCAACCAGAAUAUCCAAGAUGGCGGUCUAAAAUCCAAUAUGAUGGCUCCAAAUUAAAGUGACCAGAUGAUCAGAGCUCCAACGCGGGACAUUAUUUUGGAAAGAUGAAUAGUAAGGUGAAAUCAUGAUCUUUUUUUUUUUUUGUUAACGAAUACCUACGUAGCGAUUUUUUUUGUUCGUAGAAUACGAAGUAUUCAUUUCUUCUACCAAGCAUAUCUUUCUGCGAUGUGAGCUUUGCAGAAGUGGAACAAACUCAUAAACAUUUUUCUACAGUCUUCAAAAGAAACCUGAGAAUUAUAUCUAGCUGUCGAAAAUGGCUUUAAUAUUUCAACUCUCAAUUGCUUUCAAAAUUAAAAUCAAGGUGUUUCAAACUUCGUACACAACUGAAAAAAAAAUCGUUUAUUACAGCAUUUUUGCCUGACAAGCAUGACGUGAACUAUAUAUUUUUUUGUGGUUAUUAUUAAGUGCCUGAAAAUGUUAAACAAUCUAGCUGCUGCAUGUCCAAUUUUGUCCGUACUAUUGCCUUAAGUAGCUCGGAUGCUUCUCUGUCAACAUUGGAUUAACUUAUUGGAAUUUAAUUUACGAGCGUACCGCCUGCCAGUCAAUGAAGGCUUUGAUAUUCACCCACUUGAAAAAAAAUAACACAGUCAAAAUAAAUUUCCGAUAAAAGUUUACUAUACUGGGCUUGGAAAGAUUUAAACUUCGGGCAACGAUUUCCUUCCGGAUUUUUCAUUCGACUGUGCACAGUGCGCACUUACAUACUAAUAAAAGUAGUUUUCUACCCUGUAGUUUGAACUUGAGACAGUAUCGUCAACUGCUUUCAGGGUGGCCACUAAAUAUCAGUUUUGAAAUUCCCGUCUUUUUCCCGGUUUUCCCGGUACGAUUUCUGAAAUUUUCCCGGUUUUUAAAAUGCACAUUUUUUAGUAGGUAACGCCCAAUUUUUGUAUCAUAUGGAUGAUAAGUACCAUGUAAAAAUGCACUUGCAAUCCUGUGAAUACUAUGUACUAGAUAUUUAUAGUUUAAUAUUAUUUUUGAUGUAAUGCAUGUAUGGAAAAAAUUGGAAGUAACUACCAUUGAUGACAUAAAGGGCGUAUGCUACACAAUUACUUACAACAUAUUUUCAUACAGCUACAAAUUCGCAUAAUCUAAGCUUUCCCUCACUCAUUAUUUUACUUAUUUUCUUGUACUUUAAAAAAAACAAGUGUAGAAGUGGUAGCUAACUAUGACAGAUCUGUAAUAGGUAAGAUGUGCAUAUAAAAUCAGCAAAGGUCGCACUCGAUUAUCCGGGACUUGGAGGAUAAUCGAACCAUUUUUUUAAAUUUUAUUCAUUAGCGUAGGUGCCCUAACGCAACUUCAUUGGUGUUGUUUCCGGGGAUUCCUCCAGGAUGUCCAACUGAGUAUUCCCCCAAAAAUUUACAUUUGGGGAUUCUUACAAAGUUUUGUCCGAGAUUUCAUCUUUCGAUUACUCCAAAAAUACUAUCUUGGAUUUCUUCAAUAACUUCUGUUGGCGAUUUCACCUUGUAUAUCUUUUGUGGAUUCCUCUAGAUUCCUCAACCGUCCAUAACUAGCGCGGUUGGCCAUCACCGCCAGCACCACGCUAAUGCUGAACACAAAAAGCGAGAUUUUUUCAACGUGUUGUACAAAACACAACAGCGCGAUCGCUCGAGGGUUAAUGGAUUUAUUCUGGAAGAAGUUCCUUUGGGGAAUUUAGGAUUUUAGUCAGUCUGUUGGCAAUUAGGGAAUAGAACUUUUGGUCUGGGAUCAUGAAUUCGAUCUAGGGAUUUCUCCUGGAACUCCUAAAGGAUUCCCAAAAAAAUCUCCUACAUGUCUAGAAGGUUUCCCAAGGAACUUGGAAGAGUUCUCGAUUACAAAACUCCCGCAGUAGUUUGAUUUUCAGGAUUCUGGAGUAUUUCCAGAAAUAGCUAUCGUCAAGUUUUUGUAAGAAAUUUUGGGAGAUCAUCCAGAAGGAACUCCUGGGUGAUUUGCAGAGGGACCUUCUGAAGGAUGCCCAAAAGCAAUUCCUGGAGCAACUCCAAAAGCAACUUUCAUAAGCAACUCCUGGAGGUUUCUUUGAACAAACUCCUGGAGGGUGCCCAAGAAGAACUCUUGAAGGAAAACAGUAAGAAACACUGGAGAAAUUCCAAAAGCAAAUAUAAAAUAAAGAUAAAAUUCAGCAAAACCUCUUGGAAGUUUUCAAAACCAAAGUUUCAGAAGGCACUCCUGCAGAAAUCGUGCAAAGAACUUGUGGAGAUGGAUGAGUAACAGAAUGAUAUCCUGGAGAAAUACCAGAAGAAACUCUGUAAAGAGUCCCAGAAAGAACUUCCGAUUGAUUUCUAAAAAAGCUUUCGGAGUAAUUCCAGUAGAAAAUUCUAGGGAAACCCCAGAGGAAGCUCCAGGAAGAAAAGGAAGAAAAUUCUGGAGGGAUUUCAAAAAAAUAAUCUGGGAAGAAUUCCCGUAGGAAAUUUUGAAGAUUGGAGCAACUCCUGUUACAAUUGCGGAAGGAAAAUCUUGAUGAAUCUUAAAAGGAACUCUUGAAUAAAUUGCAAUAGGUUGUCUUGAUUAAAACCCAGUUUAGUGGUUAUGAUUUUCUUAUCUACUAAAACUUUUGAAAAAAUCUCAGAUGCAAGAAACUCUUUCCUCGAAAAAAUCUCAUCGAAUUCCAAGAGAUAAUCAAGCGGUACAAAAACCUAGAGGAAUUCUAGAGGAAACUUCUUGAAGAAUCCCAAGUUCUGUUUUAAGGAAAUUCCAAGUGAUUGCACAGGCGAAUUCCUUGGGAUUUCGUAGAAGUAUUUUGGUUUGGCUUUGAUUUUGCAGAUUUUCGUGUUCGGUGUAAACAUUCAAAUAUGCACAUCAAGUUACUCUCUUAACAACAAUUUUCCCGGUAAUCAUUCCAAAUUCCCGACUUUUUCCCGCUUUUUUCCCGGUCGUUCCGAAUUCCCGUCUUUUUCCCGGUUUUCCCGUUUUUCCCGGUUCGGUGGCCACCCUGGUAAUUGUACUCUUAUCACUUUCUAUUUUCUUCACCGAACUGUAAAAUGAUGCUGCCUGAAUGUGCAUAAAAAUCAAUCAAAUUUUCGAUUUUUUUUUCUUCAAAAAUAAAAAAAAUGCUGGGACUGCUAUCGCUCGAUAAAAAAAAAACUUUCAACAGUUCAAACUUUACUGUAACCCAGAAUCUUCAUGUACUUUCUCGCAAAAAUCUUUCAGUUUUUGAACUCUGAUGUUCAAAGUUCCGUUAAUAUGUUUGAUGUGAUUUGUGCUUUGUACAAAACCGAUUUGACUAUUUUGGCUUUGAAGUUACUAGUUACUACAAUAUUUUGAAUGCUUGUUGAUUUUUUUUUCAAAGGCGGGACAUUUUUACGAUUUGACACAAACGCGGGACAUAAUUUGUCCCGGGACAUUUGGUCGAAAUGCGGGACUGUCCCGCGAAACGCGGGACGUCUGGUCACUUUACUCCAAAUUCAAGAUGGCGACUGUUUAAAUGAGUUUAAUGUCCUAAAACCAUGCAAUAUGGGUAUACAUAGUAUGGAGAAUAUGUCCGGAGUCCAAAAAUAUCGGCCUGAAUAUCCAAGAUGAUGAUCUUAAAUCUAAUAUGGCGGACUUAAAUCCAAAAUAGCGGCUCAAAAUUCAAGAUUGCGGCUUUUUCUUACAGAGUUUAGGGCUCACACAUCAAAAGUCAGAUAAACGAUAUGAUUUCUGGUGCCAUGAAAUAGAUGCUUGUUAAACGAGUGAAAGUGCGAUAUUCUUCAACAUGUCACUUGAGUUUUGUUGGAAUGGGAUUUCGAAGGCUCGAGAAAGACUAGAUCACCGCUAGGUGGAUUAAUAAGGAUUUUUUAAGUAUUAUGUCAGUGAUUAUCUCAGAAUUGAUUGAUUGAUUUGUCUUUAUUAAAGAGACUUUCAGCCCUUGGCUAAAGUAUCUCAGAAUAUUGAAGGUUUAAUAUAAUGAUUCCUGCUCAAACGUUUUUCAAAAAUGACGUUUGGCAAAAGAAGCUUCUGUUAAUAACUGUAAAAGUGGUCACAGAAUACUAAGCUAAGAAGCAGUUUUUGUUCCAGUGAGGACGUUACGUCAAAAUGAAGAUGUUUGAAAAACUUGCUUAAAAUAACAUCUAUAAGACCAAUUUGAUCUUCUAGAAUACAAGAGGGGUAACGAAAGAACACCUGUAUAUGUAGGUACUGUGUAGAACAACAAGCAUGUCGUUGUUGUUUUCGCAUUCUCGAUUAUUCCAUCGGCAAUUAGUAUAGUGUAGCUUUAUAAAGAAAGAGUAGGCUCAGCCACGUGUGGUUCCCCCUCGAACCACCAAGCUCGAAGCAAGCCGCCCAACUGGCCAACAAUUGCGGUAUAUUGCGCAACAACCACUUGCGAAAGCGCAUUAUGUAGGUACGGCUUCCUUCCAGUCCCGGUCCUUUUCUGCUGGAGGAGGAAUGUUUGCUUGCGAAUGGCCUCUGCCUCUGUGAAUGGCUUCUAUAUUUUUCGCUUCCUUUCACGCAAUGUCGGAAUAGACCCGGCUUCGCCGUGGAGGUGUUGAAAAUCCAGAGAAGAGAGAGCGGACAACAUCGCCACCGCCAUCGCCGUUCUGACCACCCAUCAGGACGACUAUGUGUGGCGAAAUACGAGCCCGGAGGCCGGUGAGACGUCAUCCUAGCCUAGCACUACUGCCAUUGGAUACGGUCAAGUACAGGAAAACAACAACGGGUUUGGAGAAGGGGGAACGUUAAGAAGGGGGGAACGUGGAGGAAGGGAGGGGAGCUGGAAAUGCGCACGAAAUUGGCGUGUGGGUGGCUGUCCCCAACAGAGAGCUACAGGUGGAAAUAAGUUGACCUUUUCGCCAGAAGACAGAUCUUUGCUAGGGUGGCCCAUGCUUCGCGAUUUCGAAUCUUAAGAAAUAGUCGAGGACGUGAUUUACCCUUCGAAAAGUUCUUAAAGCUGUUUUCAAAUAUAUAUGCCAUAUAGUGUUUUAACAAUAUGGAACGAGCUCACCAAUUAAUGUCCAUCCAAGUGACCACCGGAGAACAGAAUCGAGAGGAACAAGAGGCUUCUGCUAUUGGAUGGGGCAUCGUAAAACAUUCCACAGAACGUUGCCCCCCCGCGUGGUCAUUUGUCCAUACAAAAUUUUUAAUUUGUCCAUACAAAAUGGUCAUUGGCCGAACCCCCCCCCCCCCCCCCAUGACCACGUGGUUUAUGGACAGCCCCUUAAAACAUAUGACGACCGUGAACGUACAUGCUUAACAUGGCGACCGUAUCAUGAAAGGAAAUUGGCAGAUUUUAUCAAAGUAUUAAAGAGAAUGACGGUUUUGGAAUUUUCUUUACCUAAUACAGUAGUUUGAAGUAUUUUUUUUUAACACAAUAAGCUGAUGAUCAUUGUUGUUCUAUUUUUAGCAAAGCAAAGUUGCUUACUUCAUACAUAUCAUUCUCCGGAAUUAAUGCUUCGAUUCAGCUGAAAUGUCCAAUAAGUUGCCAACAACGACUUUCAUCAAUCUGACAAAAACACUGUAUUCUUGUGAUCGAAAGAUAUUAUAUUCUGCUUUCCAUUCAUGCCAGAAAAUUUGAAAUUGAAAUUUGAAAAUUUGAAACAAAGAUUUUAAUUUUUAAUGUUUUUAUCAAAUACACUGUUUUUUUUUUGAAAAAAAAAAUAAAACGAGCUCACCAGAAGGACUAAGUGAUUUCUACAGUUCCUUCAGAGGAUUCAAGGAUGUCUCUAGGAUUUUCAUCAGGGAUUCUCUCAAAAGAACUCUCAGCUAUUCCGACAAGAGUUCCUUCAACGAUUACUCCACAAGUUUCUUCAGAACUUCUUUCAGGAGGAUUCAGAGAUGCCUCCAGGAGAUCCAUCAGGGAUUCCGCCAGAAAUUCCUAUAGGACAUAUAAGAAGUCCUUCAGAGAUUGGUAUAGGAGUUUCUACAGGAAUUCUUUCUGAAGUUCAAGAAUUCGAACAGUAGUUUCUUUAGGAAUAAGUCCAGGAGUUUUUCAGAGAUACGUGCAAAAGGUCCUCCAAAGAACUCCAAUCAAUGAUUCCUCUAAAAUUCCAAUCAUGGAUUUUUCCUGGUAUUUUUUUAAGGAAUUCUUUCGGGGAUCUCUGUAAGAGUUUCUUCAUGGGUCUCUCGAAAAGAUCCAUCAGAUAUUCUUCCUGGAGAAUUCCUUCUGGGAUUUCUCCAAAUAUUUCUGCAAGGAUCCCUCCUGGAAUUCUUUCAGGGGUUUCUCCAAGAAUUCCUUCAGGGGUUAUACCAGUAGUUCCUUUAAUAAUUUCAACAGGAGUUCCUUCAAGAAUUCCUCCAGGAUGUUUUUCAGAAACUUGUUCUGGAAUUCCUUCUGAAAUUCCUUCGGGGAUUCCUCUUGGAAUAUCUUCGGAAUGCCUCGUGGAGAUUUUCCAAAGAUUCUACCAGGAGUUCCUUUAAGGAUUUCUCGAGGUGCUGCUUCAGGUAUUCCUACAGAAGUUCCUCCAAGGAUUAAUUUAGGAGUUCCUUUGAGGAUUUCCUCGGAGUGCAGUGGUUCUUUCAGUGAUUGCUCCAGAAGUUUCUCCAGGAAUUUGUCCAGGAUAUCCUUUCAAGAAUCGCCCCAAUAGUUCCAUUAGGGAUCUCCCCAGUAGUUCAGUAGUUCAUCCAGGAUGAUUUAGGGAUGCCCUCAGGAGUUUUAUCAGAGAUUCUUUCAGAAGUUCCCUCAGGUAUUCCGACAGAAGCUUCUUCAAGUGUUCGUCUAAAAUUACAAUAAGGGAUUCAUGCAGGGGCUUCUUCAAAGAGCUCUCCAAAAGUUCCUUCAGGGAUCUCUCCAAGAUAACCAUCACAGAUUUUUCCUGGAAGAUUCAAGGAAGCUUCCAGAAGUCCCAGGGAUUCCUGCAAAAGCUUUUUCAGGGAUUCCUACAGAAGCUCCUUCAGGGAUUAGUCCAGGAGUUCCUUCUAAAAUAGCUCCAGGAGUUUUUUUUUUUCAGGGAUAUCUUCAGAAGUUCCUUUAGAGAUUCUUCCAGCAAUUGAACCUUGAAGUUCUUCGGGGAUUUUUUCCAGAAGGAUUCAGGAACCCAUCAAGGAUUUCUCCAGCAGUUCCUUCCGGAAUUCCUGCAGGGGUUACUUCAAGGAUUCUUCUAAGUCUAAGAGUACUUUUAAGGAUUUCUCUAGGAAUAUAAUCCGGCAUAUCUCUAGGAUUUCCUUGUUGGAUCAAGGUCCCAUAGACUGCCUACGAGAAUUCCUCCAGGAUUUCUUUCAGGGAAUUCUCCAGGAUUUCCUUCUGGACUUACGUCUGAAAUUCUUUGUAGGAUUGCUACUGGAAAUCCUUCGGGGAUUCCUUCUGGGAAUUCUUCAGAAUUCCAUCUAGAAUUCCUUUUCUUUCUGAAAUUGCUUCUAGAAAUUCUUCGAAAAUUCCUCCUGGAAAUUCUUCGGGAAUUGCUCUUGGAACUCUUUCGAGGAUACCUCCUGGAAAUCCUUCUGAAAUUCCUCCUGAACAUCUCUCGGAGUUCCCUCCUUGAAAUUGUUUGGAGAUUUCUCCUGGAAUUCCUUCGGGGAUACCUCCUGGAAAUCUUUAGGGGAUUUAUUCAGGAAUGCCUUCGGAGAUUCAACAUGGAAAACCUAUGGGAAUUCCUCCUGGAAAUCCAUCGGAGAUUACUCUUGGAAAUUCUUAAUAGAUUCGUCCUGAAAAUCCUUCGGGGAGUCCUCCUGGAGUUCCUUCGAGGAUUUCUUUUGGUAAUCCCUCGGGGAUUCCUCCUGGAAAUCCCUCAGGGAUUACCCCUUCUUCUUCUUCUUGGCGUAACGUCCUCAUUGGGACAAAGCCUGCUUCUCAGCUUAGUGUUCUAUGAGCACUUCCACAGUUAUUAACUGAGAGCUUCCUCUGCCAAUGACCAUUUUGCAUGUGUAUAUCGUGUGGCAGGCACGAAGAUACUCUAUGCCCAAGGAAGUCAAGGAAAUUUCCUUUACGAAAAGAUCCUGGACCAACCGGGAAUCGAACCCGUCACCCUCAGCAUGGUCAUGCUGAAUACCCGUGCGUUUACCGCCUCGGCUAUAUGGGCCCCUGGAAAUCCUUAAUAGAUUUGUCCUGGAAAUCCUUCGGGGGUUUCUCCUGGAAACUCUUCGGAGAUUCCACCGGGAAACCCUCCAAAAAUUUUGCCUGGAUUUUCAAGAUUCCUCCUAGAAUUUCUUCGGGAAUUUCUUCUGGAAAUCCUCCUAAAAUUCUUUCAAGGGUUCCUCCUUGAAUUCCUUCGGGAUUUUUUUCUGUAAUUUAUUCGGAAAUUCCUCCUGGAAAUCCUUCGAGGAUUCCUCCUGGAGUUUCUUCGGGGGUUCCUUUCGGUAAUCCCUCGGGGAUUCCUCCUGGAAAUCCCUUGGGGAUAACUCUUGGAAAUUCUUCAUAGAUUCUCCUGGAAAUCCUUCGCGGAUUCCUCCUGGUUAUUCUUCUAGAAUUUCUCCUGAAAAUCGUUCGGAACCUCCUCCUGGAAAUCCUUCCGAGACUCUUCCUGCAAAGCCUUCGAGAAUUCCUCCUGGAAUUCCUCCGGGAAUUUCUCCUGGUAUUCCGUCGGGAAUUCCUCCUUGAAUUCCUUCGGGAAUCCCUCCUGAAAUUCCUUCGGGAAUAGCUCCUGGAAUUCCUUCGGGAAUCCCUCUUGGAAUUCCUUCUGGAACACCUUCUGGAAUUUCGUGAGGAUUCAGUCUGUAAAUCCUUCGGGGAUUCAUCAAGGUAAUCCUUCUGGAAUUCCUCCUGGUAAACCUUCGAGGAUUCCUCCUAAUAAUCCUUCUCUCGACAAGGAAUCUUCCUAAUCAUGCCGCACACAUGCUCACUGUUUACUUUUUGCGCCGACAUCUAGCCGUGUUCGUUUUGCGCCGAACAACAAACUACCGGCAAUGACCCUUCCGAAUCUAGCCGCUGGCGCUCACAUGCUCACUGUUUGCUUUUUGCAUUGAACAACAAACUUCCGGCAAGAAAUCUUCCGAAUCUAGUAUGGAUAAAUCGAUUUUUCAUACAUUUUGAUCGGGGACUUGGACUUGAAAUGUGACAUUUCAAAUGUCCAAAACGCGGUGGGCAGAACAAAGUAUGUCGAGGACUGCUAGUUUCCCUUUAAGUUUUGACAUAAUUUGAUCAUUUUUUUCACAAAGUCGGAAAAUUUUGCAGAACUUAACCAAAAUUUGAAAAACACUUUUGGAUUGACAUGAUUUUAAACCGUUUUGGAAUUGUCUAUUUCUAAAAAUUCUUUUCUCAAAAUUAUCUAAAGUACUUGUAUUAUUGUUGUAUUAUUGUAUUGAAAAAUUUAAAUCGAUUGUGCUUUUAUGAAACACAGUUAUCUUUAUGAAGAACUUGUGUAUUCGAAUGUUCAACCCUGAGGGGCCACCCUAUGAUUUCAACUCAGAAAUGGCAAACGCAAAGUUUUUUCAUCAUAAAAAGUGCUACCAUCCUAGGUUUGCACCAAAUGCACCUAGGAUGGUAGAGAUGAUUUACGUAAACACUGCUGUUGGAAAAGAACUUACACAAUCAAGUGUGUCAUUGUCUUCAGAAGAAACCUAGCUAAGGCUGAGUCUGUCCACAAAUUCUACCUCAUAUUCGCCUGAGUCUGCAUCUUUCCUUUGAUUUAAUAGUGUGGUUUAGUGAAAUGCAUCAUUGUUAUGUAAUUCCAGUCGAUCGAAAAAACUACCAGGUUUCAGAAAGAUCAAAUUUUGUAAGAAGACACGGACACACGUUUAGUACUUCAAGUGAGCUAUCAGCUCUUUGAAGGAAGCGCCAUACUAGACAACGGGCUAUCAUGCAACGCCCAGUGGCACAGCCGAAAAUUUUUCCUGACAGCUGCGACGGGAAUCGAACCCGCGCCCCUAGCACGAUGCGACUAAAUGCUUGGUGACCUAGCCGCACGACCACGAAGCCACACAAACGAUAAAGCAUGUCAGCUUUGAAGUCUGUGCUAGGGAAUCACGACUUUAUGCAAGAGAUUCGUGUCCGUUCUCUCAAAAAAACCUUGCAGAACUUUGUAAUCAUCGCGACACAUGCCUGACGCAUUCUAAUACGCAUACGACUACCACUGGGGACAAAAAUAACCGCAACCCCCACGAAAAUCCCUCCAAAAGCCACACAUGAUGUUACGGUGGGACCUUACGUGGUGGCACCGUUGGCAUUUACACCUUCCAUCACGCGACCAUGUGCUCGUAUGGCCUCCGGUACCGUGCGGUCAGUUGCCGCAACCAUCACGGAACCAUGUGGCUGUUGUUGCCGCACAUCAUGGGCCCCUUAUUUGCACAUGAGGUGGUCUUAUUACACCUUGCCGCAGGGCUUGUUUACGACAGAAACAACAACAAAAACAACAACAUCGUCGCGGUUGCUAAUUCGAUUAGGGAUUUGCAUCCAGGCAGCGCAGGAUUGCUUCUUGGAGAAAAUGCCAAACCCGCGUGGGACAACUGCCAGAGUGUUCAUCGAUGAUGACGCAAGGAACCCAACGCAGGAUUUGUAGUCGGGUGAAUCUAUUUUUAGUGUUGGCUUUUGCGAACAAAGAAAACAUGUACAAGUUUCCUAGUAAUUUUGAGACAUCGGUUUAGGCAUUAGAACUUGUAGGGGAAGAUAAAGGUCCCAUUAGACGUGCCAAAUAUUUGGCCAAACAAGCCCAGCAAAUGACCAACACAACGUGAAUCAUAGCAACCUUGGAUAAAUGUUGGACUUCAAUGGCACAUAUUCGGCGAAUCAUGGCAACCUUGGAUUGAUGUCGACUUGCAAUGACAAAUAUUUGUCCAUGUGUAAUGGGGCUUAAAGGUGACUGUUUGUCAUUAUGCCAAAUAUUUGCCAUUGAAGUCCGACAUUUAUCCAAGGUUACUAUGAAUCACGUUAUGUUGGUCAUUUGUUGGGCUUGCUUGGCCAAAUAUUUGUCAAGUCUGAUGGGACCUUAACAAGCUAUUGACUAUUUAUUAUUGAACAGGAUUGCAUCACAUCAAAAUUCAAAAUCAGACGCAUACCAUUCAACCAAUCAACCUCAAACGGAAGGAAUCUGCCUCAUGAAUAUACAAAGUACCGGGUGUCCCCAUUCUAACAUUUUACUCUGUACUUCAAUGGCGCGCGAAAACGAGGCGUCAAGCAAAGCCUACUUCAUGGAAAGAGGACGUUAUGAUGAUCCUGUCUGUCUGCAACAAGCCUGAAAGGUUCAUGCUGUUAAUAUCCAGUCGGUAUCAGCUCCCCAUGGCGAUGGAUGAAUCCCCAUCGGGUGGUUCAUACCUACUUGAGUUGAUACAUGCAGUCGUGCGUUGGGAAGAUUUGCAUACCCUCUCCUUCCUUUCUCAAUGACUUUGGCGCUUGCCAUGUGCUCGGGUGGCCACAUGUUCGAAGCCUCUGCCUUGCGGCGUGUGCUCUCAUUGUGGACGUAUGCUGUCAGUUUCACACUUCUGGGGGAAGCUUUAAGUUGGGUAGGUACCUUGUAGCAGGCUGUCCACCCACGUUCAAAUGUUCGCUGCAGACUUUCUGGCAUUGCUUUGCAUAGGGUUGAGCAUUCUUCCAAUGCCAAUGACAGUACAUACUAUCAAUGAAUGUUGGGUUGUUGUUACCUCAAAGAAAGCUUAUCGUUACAUGUCGUGGUUGACAGCAUUUCAUCGCCCCCGCAAAAAUUGGAGUGGGGUGCCUGUACCAAUGAUGGCACUACCUAAGGGAAACUAUUUGUACAAAAAUAACGAGAAGACCAACCAAUGCCAUCAAUAUGAAUAUAAAUAAUAGCUUAGUUUCCAUACUUUACAGGAAAAAUAUAGAAACGGAGCCAAAACUACUUUUAGUAUUUAUUACAGCGUGUACCAAUGAUAGGAACCCUGUACUAGUUAUGGUUACAUUUAUUAACUUCGGUUCCUUUUCGCACCAUUUGCAUGCAUUCCUAAUGGGGAAUGCCAUAACUGGUACACUAUGGCGAAAAAGGGAGCAAGUAAGUCGAAAUUUUAAGGAAAAUGAUUUAUGUCUACCAUAAUUUGAGCAAAAUGUGGAGUUUAAAUGAGUGCAACCAUCUUUUGUGAACGUGAUCUGCUGUUCAUAAUUGUUUUCUUGUUGAAUUACAUCGGUAAAGGGUGAACAUCAACUAUGGCGAAUAAUUGGUACUAUUUCCAUAAUUGGCAUCAAUAAUGUUAGCAAGAAUUUGUCUGCGCCUCUAAAUUCUUUCGAUCAUAAUCCGGCCAAACGACCCUUUCGGCCUAAUGGCGUUCGACCAAAAGGAAUUCGGCCAAAUGGUCGGGCACCAAUACUAAUAACUUGUUUAACUAGUUGAUUUUCUCUGAAAUAUUUUGUCUUCAAUGAUUUAUAAAAACCAUAUGCAUCUGAACUGGCGCAAAUUGUGUGACCUCGGCGUGGAACUCAAAUGGCUUGGUGUGGUUUUUGUCAUUCGAGCAAUCGACUCGCGGUCAUCUGUUAUAAGACCAAUAAUUUUUUGACCGAUCAGAAAUUCAGGUACCGUCAAAAUGGUAUUGCUGGAUAAACGCGUCUUAACAGCUUCGACUAUUAUAUUGGGCAUUUAGUUCAUCAGUAGACUAUCGCACAAGUUUUCACAAGUGCGAAAACUUAAAUCAAAGUGCGCGCGAUUGCUUCAAAUCAACUCUGUUUGUUCAGAGCACUUAUUCAGCAUAUAGCGAAGAAAUAGUGCGCCGAAGACAUCAACUCGAUGUAAUCGCGCACUUUUAUUUACGUUUUCGCCACUGAAUCAAAAUUCAACCAUCGCGGAACAGUAAUAAUAAUGUCGCAACCUGUAUUUGUUUCGACAAUCCACCAAAUGCGACAAAUGAAGACUUAUUGCGCAGUCCAGUAGCGAACGUAAUGCGCAAUAUAUGAGUUUUCAAUAUUUUUUUUCAUUGUUAUUUACGUCUAUUAACUAAUGCUAAUUUUACACUUAUGUAGUUUUCAAUAACAAAGUAACAAUUCUUUAUCACACAAACGAAUCUAACCUCAAAAUAACUGACAACUAUCAGGUCGUUUUGACAGAUGUAACAUGAGCAUGAAAAAGACGGCAACAAGGUCGAUAAAGUAGAAUAAUAGAAGUAAUAUAUAUGAUCCGUCUUUUUCGCGCAUGCGUGUGGUCUGUCAAAACAUUUUCAUGGCUACCCAGGUAAUCAAUAAGCAGUUGAAAUGUGCCUUUACAGCAGGUCAUUAAAUGAAUAUUAGCCGUAUAUGCGCCUUAAGUGCUGCUUAAAUGCAGGUUUUGGCCCAAUAUACGGCUGAUUAAAUGCUUAUCCCUUAGACUAUCAAAAAUUGAAACGAAAAUAUGUGUAGAAUUACACACUUCCACUCUUGCUGCCUUUUCUAUCUUCUUUUCAUAUUUAUUUUCUUCACUCUACGCUUCAAAAAGAAGUAAUUGAUGCGAUUUCGGAUGGGCUGAAAGGGCUGAAAGUAUUAUUUGGCUUGAACUCCCAAAUGAUCGUGCAUUUGAAAUGCAGCGGAACAGCUGUUACAUUUUCAGUAGCAGUUCAGUUGCUAAUUUAGGACAGUUUAGCAGUUGAACUGCUAUGAUAGAGCAGUAAACAAGUGGAAUGUCGAUAUAAUGUUGAAAUAUAGCUUGUUUAAUGCUUAUUGGUUACCUGGGUAGCUUUGUUGUUGUAAUGAAGAAUUAGGGGAUUCACUAAACAGCGUAAACUGAUUAAACUGAUUGAACGUCGCAAUCACCAAGGCAAUCUUUGAUUAUUUCUUUCACAGUUCCAUGAAACAUUUCAAUAAUUAGAUAUUUAUGGCUAACUCUGCCGUUCUUCUGUAAAGUGACGUAAGCGACAUUGACAAUUUUGAUAAAUGUUUGGUUAUUAUUCAUCAAACUCUUGAUCGUCCGUUAUGUGUUCUUUUAUAGAUGCUAGAUUACCACUAGAUCUUGCAUCCUAAUUUAGCAGACAUGCCACAGUGUUAAAAUUUCAUAAGAUAUAUACCAAAAGACGUCGACAUUUGGAAUGGCGCAUACGCCACUUUGUAGAAGAACGGCAGUAACGCAGUUAUUUAAUCUGUCUAGUGAAUACCCCUAAUGAUUCUAAAAAUGAUUCUAAACUCGUAAAAAUGCGUCUAAACCUUAUGUUCGCCUAAUCUAGCCUACGGGGCUAUUGUUCAAUGCGAGAGUAAACAAUUUAUCAUGUAAACAAUAUGUAAACUAUGGUUUAGUUUUUUGCUUCGCAACAAGAUUAGGGGCUAUGCACAAAUUACAUCACGUUUUUAAGGGGGAGGGUUGGUUUUCCAUAACGUGACGACCCAUACAAAAAAUUUGUAGGUCUCAUGCAAAAAGUGUGACAUAGGAGGGAGGGAGGGUUGAAAAUGGUCGAUUUUUGCGUGACAUAAUUUGUGUAUCACCCCUUACAGUGCCGAUUCGUUCGUUGGGGCUCGCUACAUGGGCUAUCUCGAUGGUUGAAUGUUCCCUGGUUGGGGCAAAAUCCAACUAAAAAGCAUUGCCAAUGUUAAAUUCGAUGUCAAAACGAGUUUGACGUCUGACCGCCAUCGCAUCGCACCUUCUAUAUACAGAAUGUUUGUGCAAGUAUCCCGGGUAGAGGCAAAGUAUAAACCAAGUACAAAAUAAUAACAAGUUUUGCCAUCAUAUCUCAUUUUAUCAUUCUCAUGUUCGAAUGAGUGUAAUCAGUUUCGUACCUUUUAAUUCCGCCCUAUGUUGCUUAUCCUUUGACAGAUACGCGUAUUUCGACAACCACUUGUAAUCUUCCUCAGUGUCAAUUAUCCACUGUAUCCAGUGUAUCCAGUGGAUAACUGACACUGAGGAAGAUUACAAGUGGUAUUCGAAAUACGCGUAUCUGUCAAAGGAUAAGCAACAUAGGGCGGAAUUAAAAGGUACGAAACUGAUUACACUCAUUCGAAGAGGCAAGAGGGUAUUCUGCUUAGAGGGUCCGAAAAGUCGGUACAAGAUUCUCAUGUUGUUUAUGAUUAACACUAAAUAACUCGUCAAGAACAAAAAAUGUUAUCAUUCCAAAAUUUGUUAUUUCUGAGUUAUUAUAGAAUAACAAUAAAUAACUGAAUAAUAAAAAAAUAUGCAAUCAUAUCAAAAUAAGUUCUUAUGACUAUCCCGAAUACAAUAACAUCCCAAUGGCAUAUUUUUCAAUCAUAACUUAUUUUGUUAUUGAUGAGCUAUUUUGUUUUUUUUUUUUGUUUUGUCAGAGAUAACAUGAGAAGAUCAAAUUCAAAUAGAAUAUUGACUUAAAACAAAUUUUGUUAUUGGUUUGUUGGGAAUAAGAGCUGAAAGUAAUAAUAAGAUCAAACCAAGGACAAAAUAUUUCUGAACCUCAAAUACACUUUUUCCAAUCAUAAGAACAAAAUUUACAAUUAUUAUGAUCUUUGUAGGAAUACCGUAUUACCCCGCUAAUACGACACCGACUGUUGUCGAAUAACCGGGGUAAACUUUCAAUUCGACAAACUGGUCACCCUACACCACCAUGCUCAUUGAAAUUUUGUAACUCUAUUUUUGUUUUUGUUUUGAUUUCCGGAUUUGUUAUAAAACAUAAUUUCAUCAAAUAGUGCGGUGGCGCGAAUGAAAAGCUCGUUCUUUCUACGAUUCUUGCCAUCCUCAGUUCAUUCCGGUUGGCCUCCAGGCGGUUUGGGUGUUGAAUAGCACCAACUCAGCACUUCCGAAAUUUGCGGCUGCAAGAGGAAUUGCUGCGGGUGCGAGUAUAAGCGCAAUAUCAAACUGUUUUGCAUUUACAGUGUAAAUCGUUGUGACAUUUGAACACUUUUUAAUUCGACAUGUGUCGAAUAAGCGGGAUACGAAUUAAAAAAUGUCGUAUUAAAACGUGUCGAACCAGCGGGGUAAGACGGUAGCUUAUUUUGUACUUACUUUGUUCUCAAUAGGUCGUUAAUAACUUAUUCAGUUAUUCUACAUUUAAAAAUAUUUUGUCCUUGGUUAGUUAUUAUUGAGUUAUUUUCCGAUACAAAGUCAGUUGUUAUUUUUGUUCUUUUAGCUCUUGUUCCCAACAAACCAAUAACAAAUUUUGCCAUUCAGCUAUUCAUUUUUAAUGGCAAAAUUUGAUCUUUUGUCACUUUCGUCUGCCCGGGAUAUAAGUUUUUUUAUCUGUAUUAACGAGAUUUUUAGCCCUGGGCUAGUUCAUCUCGGGACCCACGCUUUACUUCCCUUCCGAAGGAAGAACUCACAUUUUGCGAGUUUGUCGGGAGUGGGAUUCGAUCCCAGGUCCUCGGCGUGAUAGUCAAGUGUUCUAACCAUCACACCAGGUCCGCUCCACCCGGGAUAUGAGUGUUUCGUCACUUGCGUGUGUCUCGAUUAUUUCGAUCAGUUGUCAGUUGUCCCAACGAAUGACCCAACCAGCGAAUCCAGGUUGUAUUGUACUAUGUCACAACAACCUUCUCCAUUUCGCGGUUGCACCAUUGAUGAUCCAUCUCAAACCAAUGCAAUGUAGACUCGCAACGCAAUGGCAUUUCAAACCGCUUCCGAUUCCAGUCCUGCUCCUGACGUGGACAUCAUAUUUACGUAAUUCACGUCAAAACGGUCUCUGUUUACAACACAUCGCCUCCUCUGCUGGCUAGGAGGCGGCCCCACUUUCCCCACCAUCAUCAACUGGAGCAAGUGGCGUGGUAUAAUACCCGCCAUCUCUCACCCCAUGCACACCCAUGACACCCCGGCGGUGUCUUUACUACUAUUAUUAUUUAUUAUGAUGCGCCGCCGUCGUGCGCCCAUUCCCACUCCACCAGUCAGUGCAGUGUGGAAAAAGGGCAGCCGAACCGAGCCGGCCGCGUGCUCGAGAAAAACGUGUACCUCGAUGCUUGAUCGAGCGCUUUGCAUCUCGCACCGCCGCCUCCUGCUUGGGGCGAACCCACACCCCACCACGCGAGGACCAUGGUGGUGAUCCUACCGGAGAACACGCUGCAUGGCUUCCAUCCAAAUCGUCUAUUUACUUCUGUGAGAGCCGAGCUUUCCCGCAUCUAGAGCUCAGUUCAGUGUAGCCGAACGAGAGAGCACCCGCCAUGAAAGCUCAAGUAGGCGGUCGGUGGGUGGCAACGUGCCACACUUUUUUCUCAGAGUAGCCCCCCAUUCCACCCGGUCGUCGCCGAAGGUUGGCUUGGCCUUGGAGGGAGAGAGUGGAUGGAGAGAGCAGGCGUUGAGAGGGGAGCACAUGGAGCUUGUUUUAUUUACUGUUUGUUUCUAUACCAUCGCCUUCCAAGUGGCGGCGGUGGGGUUUGGGGGCCGCGUUAUCCAAAAGGACAACACUCAUGGGCGAUUCACGUGGAGUGGCUUCUUUGACCGAACCCCGAAUGAUGGGCGGUGGGGGUGUUGUUGCGCGCCUUCGGUGUGGUGGAAUUAUGACGCGCAGAGGCGGUGGGUGGGAGGAUUUGUGCACUUCGUCAGGGCCUGGUCGGUCGGUCCGGUGCUAUGUUUGUCAACAUUCUGCUGAGUGCUGCCGUUUGCGGAAAAGAUGUUUCGGGCAGUAUUAUUGCGAGGCGAUUGCUUGCGGCUCUGCGCUACGUAUAUGUAGGCGUUAAGUCUGAUUAUGUAGAUGACGUUCAUUCGAAUUCUUCGGAACUGCGAACGACUAAAAUAUAAUAAGGAGAACUAAUGAGAUAUUGCCACACGAAAAGAACAACAAAAUUUGCUGGUAAUUUUCUGUUAUCUUUUCAUGAAAUGGCAUCAUAGGUUUUCCUUUCAGAGGGUGUAGAGGAUUUCUAGAACCUUAAUAUUUAUUUUACUCUUUCAAGAUAUCUAUACAAUUUUUUUUAUUUCCUAACUUUUAUGAUAUGAGAAGAUUAUCAUCCACCUACGAUAUAGUAUAUAUUGAGAUACAUAUAUUAGAAGGCAAAACAAAUGAUGACCAACGUAUUCUGCGUAGAGCAUAUAACGAUAUAACACAAAAUGUCUUUGUAUAGUUUCGAUUCUAUCUCACACAGUAUUUCCACAUACGGAUUGCCAAGAGUUUUCGCUACAGUUUUGACCGCCUUUUAUGAACAAGAAAAAUUCAGGCCAAACAUUUCAAUAGGUCCUAUCUGCAUUUGAGAGGCUCUCUUUGUUCACUUUUUGUUUCAAUUAUUGCAAUGUAAUGGUACACUUUUCAACUAUUUUUGCAGUACAAAUCAGAAGACGAUUCUAGCGUAACAUGUGAAAUGGGCCUAAAGGCUUUUUGUAAACAAACAUGUUUCGGUCGCUGUAGGGCUCAUCUUGAUCCACCCACGCACAUCAACACGCUUAUCAGAAAUAGUAAUCUUCGGGCUAUCUGUUAAGUGUAUUGUUGUCCGUGGGUAGAUCAAGUUGAGUCCUACUGCGACCGAAACAUGUUUGUUUACAAAAAGCCUUUAGGCUCUUUUCUUAUGUUACGCUAGGAUUGUUUUGGCCGUCGUUCAAUGCUAGGAGACAAUCAUAAUACAAAUAAACAGCUGAGAUAUUAACGAAAGAGAGGGAAACCAAAGAGAGGCUCUCUUCUGCAGAUAGGACCUUUAGACAUGUUUGGCCUGAAUUAAAGUGCAUUUUACUCAGCAUUGCUAUUUAAUAUCUAAGGACUAUUCAUUAAAGAAAGUGGACACCUGUUUUUCAAUAGAAAAUAUUUAUUUUCGAACAAAUUAAAAAGUUUGUUUUUUAUUAAUGACAAUCAACAUACAUGUGGCCGAGUUCACGUGAGUUUGAACAUUUACUUCGCAUUUCUGAAGAACGCUCGGACUUUCCUCUUGAUACCUCCCAUUAGAUUCUGCACAACUUUCUCCGUAACCUUUCGUUGUGCCGCAGACAAAAUUUACUUGUAGCAAUCAACAGAGCUUGCUUCUCUUCCAUCUUUCUUGAGAUGCCGCUUGAUAAUUGUCCAGUAUCAUUUCAUAGGACGCAGUUAAGGGAAGUUUGAGGGAUUUUGCCAUUUUUCGAUGAAAUCGACUUUUUCCGUCUUGAGCAUCUCUAGUGUAGAAGAAGCGUAAUAAGCGGAUGCCAGAUCCGGCCAAAACAAUGGAGGAUCCGUAUGUUUUUGGUAGAUGGGUAGAAGUCGUUUUUUGAUGCAUUUCUCUCUGUUAUUUUCAUCGUUAAUUGUUCCCGUUGUGAAAUAUUAAGAACUCUUUGAGCCGGAAGAACUAUUGGAUUGCCGUAUUAAAAUUUUUUCCCAAUUUUUUCGGUUCUGACGUACCCUACAUCAUCCGGCACAACUGUCCCCUGCUCAGCUUUGAAAAAUUACAGUCACGGAAGUGUACUAGUAUGCAAAUUCUCGAAACGAUAACUUUUUGGAACACCAUUUGUGCAGAAUUUAAAGCUAGUCGCUAAGCUAAUCCGACCCAUCGCUCGAAAUUUCUCGCUUUUUUCCGUUUUCUUUGAGUGUAUUGCCAAAGUGAACAAUGUUUUUACACAUUGAGCAAAAAUUUAAAAUUUUUUGUUUAGUUUUAACUCUAAACUAUUGGUGAACAGAUGUCCACUUUCUUUAAUGAACAGUCCUUACAUUGAUAGCUUGUUGGCUACAAAGUUGCUUCACUCGAACGCCAAGCGUAUGGUACAGCACUAUCUUCGUCGGUCUUGGGCGACGUUUCUCUAGAUUCCCCGAACGAGUAGUGAUCUAAUUACUUACUUUCAGUCCUGGACACCCACGGGCGGAAUUGAAAGAUCUCCAUCCUGGGCGAUUGCCAGCCAUCGCCUUGACCUGUGGCUAGGUCAAAUUUCUGUCGACUUCCUUGAUUCCGUUGUUGAGGCUGUGCCGCUAUGAGCCUCUGGGUCUGCCUCUGCUGCGAUUUCUUUCUGGGUUCCAGUCGUAACGCUUGCUUGCAGAUUUCGUUUUCCUGCGUAGAGUGAGGACGACCCACCUCCACUUUCGCUCCCGAAUAUCUGUCGCUAUCGGCUUUUGAUGACAUCGACGAUGAAGCUCCACGUUAGAGAUCCAAUUGUUGGGCCACCAUUAUAUACCGCAGGCAUCUAUUGAUGAAGACCUGCAGCCGUUGAGUGUUCCACUGAUACACACCAGGUUUCACUGGCGUAUAACAGCACAGAUUUCACGUUCGAGUUGAAAAUUCGGAUUUUGGUGCGUCGACUGUUCUGGUAGUUUUUCCAUAUAUUUCUUAAACUCGCAAAAGCAGCCGUCGCCUUCUUGAUCCGUGCACCUAUGUCGAUCUUGAUGCCGCCAUCGACCGCCAUUUGGCUACCAAGAUAUUGGAAGCUUUCAACAUUCUCCAGUGAUUGCCCAGUUACCGUUAAGCUGGAAGGGUUGACCGUUUUAACAUCCAACGAUUUGAUCUUGUUGAUGUUGAUGGUAAGACCUGCCGCUGAGGAGCGAUUGGCAAGAUCAUCGAGCUUGCUCUGCAUAUCAGAGCGCCGUUGAGCUAGGAGAGCAACGUCAUCAGACAGUUCGAAGCCAUUUAGGUACUCCAUGGUAACGGGCUGCCACAGCAAUCCACGAUUUGGUUCACGGUCAAUCGCACCUACCAGGAUCUCGUCGAUUACGAUGAGGAACAGUAGCGGUGAUAGUAUACAUACAUCCUUGCCUCACUCCAGCAACGACCCGGAUGGGAUCGGACAAAACACCGUUGUGCAGUACUCGAAAAUGCUCUGUACUGUGCUUCAAUUAGGCCGAUGAUUUUCUCAGGGACACCCUUGCGCCUGAGGGCUUCCCACAUGUUUCCGUGAUUGAGACGGUCGGAAGCUUUUUCGUAAUCAAUGAACACCAGGUAGAGAGACUCAUGGAAUUCAUUGAUUUGCUUCAGAAUGAUACGGAGCGUGACAAUAUGGUCCACACAGGAUUGUUCGGCACGGAAUCCUGCUUACUGCCGUCGGAGAGUUGCGUUAAUCUUCUCCUGUAUCCGGUUAAGGAUCACUUUGCAAAGGAAUUUGAGAACGAUACACAGCAACAUGAUGCCUAGGGCAGUUCAGACUUUUAACAUGUCAAAAAUCCAAAGCUCCAAUAUGUUCGUUACAAUCCUUGGUGUAAAACUAGAGUCCUGACAAAUUUUCAGCCAUUUCGGUGGUGAUUUAAUGGUGGCCCAAGAGCAAAAUAGGUUUAUAUGGGAAUUACUAUGGAGAAGUUUCGAAAAAGGUUCUCCGCGCUGUAGAGCAUUACCACAUGGACGAAGUCAUAGGGUCAAAGCCAAAUUGAGUUCUUCAGAUCUCAAUGAUGAAUGUUGCCGAAGACCGGAACUUAUUUCGGCAAUCGUGGAAAAAGUUAUUAAACAAAUUCUCACUCGCAUACGCAUCUUUAUACACGAUGUCCUGCAAGAUGUGCAAGAAGGUAACACGCAUACUAUGAUUGCGUGUCAAGCAUAUCGAUCGAACUGUGGUCUUCUGUUCAAGCAUGCAUGAGUGAAUAUUAAUUAAUAACUUCUGUCUCGUGAUUCGAAACGAGUGGCGGUCAUCGGCAACAUUCAUCAUUAAAAUCUGAAGAAUUCAAUUUGAUUUUGACCCAACGCCUUCAUCCAUGUGGUAAUGUUCUACAGCGCGGAGAACCUUUUUCGAAAAUUCUCCAUAGUAAUUCCCAUAUAAACCUAUUUUGCUCUUGGGCCACCAUUAAAUCACCACCGAAACGGCUGAAAAUUUGACAGGACUCUAGUUUUGCACCAAGGAUUGUAAUGAACAUAUAGGAGCUUUGAAUUUUUAACGUGUUUAAAAUCUGAACUGCCCUAAUGAUGCCCCGCCAAUUAUCGCAGUCAGGUCACCCUUUUUGGGUACCUUUACUAAGACGCCUUGCAUCCAUUCGGCCAGAAAUGUCGCGGUUUCCCAUAUGUUGCAGAAUAAUUGAUGCAGUAGUUGUGCGGAUACUACGGGGUGAGCUUUGAGCAUCUCAGCUGAUAUGCGAUCGACCCCUGAGGCUCUGUUCGAUUUCAUGCUACGGAUGGCUGUUUCUAUCUGACACGGGCAGUGUGUGGAUUUUUAUCGCGAACCACUGAAUGGUCCAUGCUCAGCAAGUGAUACAUUCGCGAAUGUAACAUUUCAUGAACCAACAUGCUCGGGAACGCUCCCCGAAAUGCUGUUCAUUCUCUUGCCCGGUUCGAUACGAGAGCGCAAUCAAGAGAGAAGAUGCUCGAUGACGCUAAUGAAAGCGAUGCAUUCGGUAAGAAUAUUUUAUUGCCAUAAUUCUUUUUUUAUUGUGACUACACAACCUGCAACGUCAUGAAUACAGUUAAAUUAAAUAGUAUUUCACGUUUUUAAAGCGAAAACACAUUAAAUACUUAUGGAAAUAACGAUUAUUCACAGUUGCCCCAAGCCAACGAUGAGCGAUCAUCGGUAAGUGUUACACUUAGCGAUGCCCGCUCAUCGCCGCAGCUUGUUUAUCCUCUUUGUGUUCCUUCGUGAACCAUGCGACUCAACGAGAGAACAUACACCGCUUGGUAAUUGAAACAGAACCAACAGAAGGGAAGAAAAACUGCCGAGUGGUUCACUGAUCACUUUUUCGUCCAAACACUGGACACGGGGUAAUGCGUCGAACCCUUGGCGGAUCAUGCUGAGGUGUUGAUGGCGUGGCCUACACUUGAAAAAGGUUUCCAAAGUGCUCGAGCCAGCGUUUUAAAAUGAUCAGCCGGGUCCAGACGAGUCUUUCACGGGCAUCGUAGCAUUCAUCUUAAUCCCACUAAGGUGACGUGAGACAUCGUAGAGGAGACGGAUGUCGCCUGUGUUUGCGGCUUAUAAUGACUCCUUAGAACUCCUUAUAAAUGCCUGACGUUAUUGCUUGAGUAAUUUCUAAUAGAUUUUUUUGGGUACAAACCGUAAUGAUUUCCUUUUAGAAAUGCACCUCGGCAAAUUUGGGUAGAACCUUCUGGAAGUAUUUCUAAGGAUACCCUGGAAAAGUAUCCUGCAAAUCCCUGAUCAUUCCUAACUCAAAUUUUAACAAAUAUCUUUAAAAGAAUGGUUGGUAAAACUUCUGGAAUGAUCUAUGGCUGAACGCACGUGGAAGUUCAUAAAAUGCAGGAUUUUGUUUUGAAAAUAUUUGUUAAUAGAAAUAAUAAUAUUAUAUGCGAAUCCUUAAAAAAAAUAACUAUAGAAUUUUCGAACAGAUUUUGGAAUCAAAUAUGUCAAGGAUUUUUUCAAGAAUGUUAACAAUAAAAAUGUUAGGGACAUGUCAGGCAUAUUUUUUUUUCUUAUACAAAAAAAAAAGCUUGUUCUCAUAGAGUGCAUCGAAAAAUCUCAAAUUUUGACUGUUUGUCAAAUCUUUCAUGAAGUUAGAACCGUUCCGGUAAAACAAUUUUUUUUUAGACAACUAAUUUUUGAACUGUCAUAUCUUGGAAACCAGUUAACCAAUCUUGCACCGACUUUUCGAACCCUCUAAGCAGAAUACCCUCUAUGAAUGAGU
Molecule: long non-coding RNA, 33950 nt
Organism: Aedes albopictus (Asian tiger mosquito)
Lineage: Eukaryota; Metazoa; Arthropoda; Insecta; Diptera; Culicidae
Exons: 3
Source: RefSeq, a predicted model, not a curated record